This 424-nucleotide ribosomal RNA is filed under the name uncultured Nitrosospira sp. RNAcentral's name for it is "bacterial SSU rRNA". It matches the Rfam family "Bacterial small subunit ribosomal RNA", at positions 207 to 622 of the family's 1533-position model. The record is from RNAcentral. Lineage: Bacteria; Pseudomonadati; Pseudomonadota; Betaproteobacteria; Nitrosomonadales; Nitrosomonadaceae.
CAAGACCUUGCGCUUUUGGAGCGGCCGAUGUCUGAUUAGCUAGUUGGUGGGGUAAAGGCUUACCAAGGCUUCGAUCAGUAGCUGGUCUGAGAGGACGACCAGCCACACUGGGACUGAGACACGGCCCAGACUCCUACGGGAGGCAGCAGCGGGGAAUUUUGGACAAUGGGGGAAACCCUGAUCCAGCCAUGCCGCGUGAGUGAAGAAGGCCUUCGGGUUGUAAAGCUCUUUCAGCCGGAACGAAAAGGUCAUGGCUAAUACCCGUGACAAAUGACGGUACCGGAAGAAGAAGCACCGGCUAACUACGUGCCAGCAGCCGCGGUAAUACGUAGGGUGCAAGCGUUAAUCGGAAUUACUGGGCGUAAAGCGUGCGCAGGCGGUUUUGUAAGUCAGAUGUGAAAUCCCCGGGCUUAACCUGGGAACU